This 1145-nucleotide ribosomal RNA is filed under the name Micrococcus sp. TA_EU. RNAcentral describes it as "partial 16S ribosomal RNA". Lineage: Bacteria; Bacillati; Actinomycetota; Actinomycetes; Micrococcales; Micrococcaceae. The record is from RNAcentral.
UGCUGAUCUGCGAUUACUAGCGACUCCGACUUCAUGGGGUCGAGUUGCAGACCCCAAUCCGAACUGAGACCGGCUUUUUGGGAUUAGCUCCACCUCACAGUAUCGCAACCCAUUGUACCGGCCAUUGUAGCAUGCGUGAAGCCCAAGACAUAAGGGGCAUGAUGAUUUGACGUCGUCCUCACCUUCCUCCGAGUUGACCCCGGCAGUCUCCCAUGAGUCCCCACCACGACGUGCUGGCAACAUGGAACGAGGGUUGCGCUCGUUGCGGGACUUAACCCAACAUCUCACGACACGAGCUGACGACAACCAUGCACCACCUGUGAACCCGCCCCAAAGGGGAAACCGUAUCUCUACGGCGAUCGAGAACAUGUCAAGCCUUGGUAAGGUUCUUCGCGUUGCAUCGAAUUAAUCCGCAUGCUCCGCCGCUUGUGCGGGCCCCCGUCAAUUCCUUUGAGUUUUAGCCUUGCGGCCGUACUCCCCAGGCGGGGCACUUAAUGCGUUAGCUGCGGCGCGGAAACCGUGGAAUGGUCCCCACACCUAGUGCCCAACGUUUACGGCAUGGACUACCAGGGUAUCUAAUCCUGUUCGCUCCCCAUGCUUUCGCUCCUCAGCGUCAGUUACAGCCCAGAGACCUGCCUUCGCCAUCGGUGUUCCUCCUGAUAUCUGCGCAUUCCACCGCUACACCAGGAAUUCCAGUCUCCCCUACUGCACUCUAGUCUGCCCGUACCCACCGCAGAUCCGGGGUUAAGCCCCGGACUUUCACGACAGACGCGACAAACCGCCUACGAGCUCUUUACGCCCAAUAAUUCCGGAUAACGCUCGCACCCUACGUAUUACCGCGGCUGCUGGCACGUAGUUAGCCGGUGCUUCUUCUGCAGGUACCGUCACUUUCGCUUCUUCCCUACUGAAAAGAGGUUUACAACCCCGAAGGCCGUCAUCCCUCACGCGGCGUCGCUGCAUCAGGCUUGCGCCCAUUGUGCAAUAUUCCCCACUGCUGCCUCCCGUAGGAGUCUGGGGCCGUGUCUCAGUCCCAGUGUGGCCGGUCACCCUCUCAGGCCGGCUACCCGUCGUCGCCUUUGGUGAGCCAUUACCUCACCAACAAGCUGAAAAGGCCGCGAGUCCAUCCAAAACCGAUAAAUCUUUCC